GACGAACGCUGGCGGCGUGCUCAACACAUGCAAGUCGAACGAUGACGACCGAGCUUGCUCGGUCUGAUUAGUGGCGAACGGGUGAGUAACACGUGAGCAACCUGCCCUUCACUCUGGGAUAACCCCGGGAAAUCGGGGCUAAUACCGGAUAUGAGCUCCUGUCGCAUGGCGGGUGUUGGAAAGUUUUUCGGUGAAGGAUGGGCUCGCGGCCUAUCAGUUUGUUGGUGAGGUAGUGGCUCACCAAGGCGAUGACGGGUAGCCGGCCUGAGAGGGCGACCGGCCACACUGGGACGGAGACACGGCCCAGACUCCUACGGGAGGCAGCAGUGGGGAAUAGUGCACAAUGGGCGAAAGCCUGAUGCAGCGACGCCGCGUGAGGGAUGACGGCCUUCGGGUUGUAAACCUCUUUCAGCAGGGAAGAAGCGAAAGUGACGGUACCUGCAGGAGAAGCGCCGGCUAACUACGUG
RNAcentral lists this ribosomal RNA (467 nucleotides) under uncultured bacterium. Its description in RNAcentral is "partial 16S ribosomal RNA". It matches the Rfam family "Bacterial small subunit ribosomal RNA", at positions 28 to 507 of the family's 1533-position model. The record is from RNAcentral.